Non-coding RNA from Cinara cedri, 1195 nucleotides. NCBI's taxonomy places the organism in Eukaryota, Metazoa, Arthropoda, Insecta, Hemiptera, Aphididae. The record is from the annotation of a GenBank genome assembly.
CGUCGUUGGCGGGCGGCUCCGACGGCGGUUAUCGCGCGCGGACGAACAACCCAAAUUAAAAUGUGGUCCGUCGUUGUUAUCGGGCCUACGAUAACAAACGUUAUGCGAUCGGGUGUAGCGCGGGGCGUGGCGCACCGUAACAAUAACGUCCGUCAAUCACGGUACGCGAUAUACCCGCGUGUUUUAAUCGUUGAACAGUACGGUAUUGUAAACACCUCGGGUGAUCUAUUUAAGUGUGGGUACGCUCGUUAAUCUCGGAGUUUAUUAAUUUUUCCCGGAAUUUCGUUUUCCAGAACUGUUAAGACGACGUGUUACACCUGUAAUUUUAUCGUAAAAACAUAGUUGUCGUGAUAAGGAGAUUUUUCGCUGUGACGUAGCGUUUUUAUUUUUUAGCUGGUACAAAACGGUUUGAAAAUAUUAAUUUUUAAAGUUUAGUAAAUAUUUCAAGAUUUUUGUUUAUUAUUGAGAUAGGUUAUUGGCAUAUGGAAAACGCUACGUCACAAUUUUUUCCUUAUUAAAACAAAAAAAAAAAAAAAUGGUCGAUCUAUCAUAAUUAUUAAAAGAAUGGUUUCGUUUCGAAAACUGUUUUUCCGUGUAAAAACAUUGACAAAUAAUUAUUUCGCAACGGCGGAGAUACGGUGCGCGCGACGCCAUCUCUCGUGCGUUGCACUCGAACAGCUUUGGGUAUCACGUCCUCUUAAGAAACGAGCUGCUCUACAAUGUUUUAUUCGUGUUAUUUUUGGUCGUCCUUGUUUUUGGGGGUGAACCCACUACGUACUUUUGAUUUUCAAAUGGCGACCUAUAUUGAAAAUUAGUAGGAUUAGUAAAAAAUGAAUUUUAUUGUUGACAUUUUUGAAUUCCGUCAAUCCGUUGACGAGAUAUUCCAUUUUUAAGUUUGGAUUGGAGGAGAGUAGUGGAGUAUCGUUUGUGUAUGACCGUGCGGCGCGCGGCGUGUUACCGAUGUACCUCCCCCAAAAAUGAGGGUAAUAAAAAAUACCAUAAUUAUAAAAUUGUAGAGCUGUUUUUGUUUCUCAAAAUGUACUGGAGAACAAAUUCCGAAAAAAGUUUAUACUUUCCUACGCAAUAAGUGUACCCGCUUAAAUCGAUCGCCCGGUACUCGUAUAGUUCAAUGGAUUUCACAUUAUUCACGGUCAACGAGACCGAGGUGUUUCGCGGCCACACCACAGCAACAUUG